GANCUAGCUCGGUCUCGCGAAUGCUCUAGGAUUAAAGUUUGAUCAUGGCUCAGNCUUGAACGCUGGCGGCAGGCCUAACACAUGCAAGUCGAACGGUAACAGGAAGCAGCUUGCUGCUUUGCUGACGAGUGGCGGACGGGUGAGUAAUGUCUGGGAAACUGCCUGAUGGAGGGGGAUAACUACUGGAAACGGUAGCUAAUACCGCAUAACGUCGCAAGACCAAAGAGGGGGACCUUCGGGCCUCUUGCCAUCGGAUGUGCCCAGAUGGAAUUAGCUAGUAGGUGGGGUAACGGCUCACCUAGGCGACGAUCCCUAGCUGGUCUGAGAGGAUGACCAGCCACACUGGAACUGAGACACGGUCCAGACUCCUACGGGAGGCAGCAGUGGGGAAUAUUGCACAAUGGGCGCAAGCCUGAUGCAGCCAUGCCGCGUGUAUGAAGAAGGCCUUCGGGUUGUAAAGUACUUUCAGCGGGGAGGAAGGUGUUGAGGUUAAUAACCUCAGCAAUUGACGUUACCCGCAGAAGAAGCACCGGCUAACUCCGUGCCAGCAGCCACGGUAAUACGGAGGGUGCAAGCGUUAAUCGGAAUUACUGGGCGUAAAGCGCACGCAGGCGGUCUGUCAAGUCGGAUGUGAAAUCCCCGGGCUCAACCUGGGAACUGCAUUCGAAACUGGCAGGCUAGA
This 682-nucleotide ribosomal RNA is filed under the name uncultured bacterium. RNAcentral describes it as "bacterial SSU rRNA". It matches the Rfam family "Bacterial small subunit ribosomal RNA", at positions 1 to 645 of the family's 1533-position model. The record is from RNAcentral.